UACGUAGGGUGCGAGCGUUGUCCGGAAUUACUGGGCGUAAAGAGCUCGUAGGUGGUUUGUCGCGUUGUUCGUGAAAUCCCACGGCUUAACUGUGGGCGUGCGGGCGAUACGGGCAGACUGGAGUACUGCAGGGGAGACUGGAAUUCCUGGUGUAGCGGUGGAAUGCGCAGAUAUCAGGAGGAACACCGGUGGCGAAGGCGGUUCUCUGGGCAUUACCUGACGCUGAGGAGCGAAAGUGUGGGGAGCGAACAGG
RNAcentral lists this ribosomal RNA (253 nucleotides) under uncultured bacterium. RNAcentral's name for it is "partial 16S ribosomal RNA". It matches the Rfam family "Bacterial small subunit ribosomal RNA", at positions 524 to 776 of the family's 1533-position model. The record is from RNAcentral.